AUACGGAGGGUGCGAGCGUUAAUCGGAAUUACUGGGCGUAAAGGGUACGUAGGCGGUUAUGUCAGUCAGAUGUGAAAGCCCCGGGCUUAACCUGGGAACUGCAUUUGAUACUGCAUAGCUAGAGUUUGGUAGAGGAGGGCGGAAUUCCCGGUGUAGCGGUGAAAUGCGUAGAGAUCGGGAGGAACACCAGUGGCGAAGGCGGCUCUCUGGACCAAAACUGACGCUGAGGUACGAAAGCGUGGGUAGCAAACAGGAUUAGAAACCCCGGUAGUCC
RNAcentral lists this ribosomal RNA (274 nucleotides) under uncultured bacterium. RNAcentral's name for it is "partial 16S ribosomal RNA". It matches the Rfam family "Bacterial small subunit ribosomal RNA", at positions 523 to 796 of the family's 1533-position model. The record is from RNAcentral.